UAGGGAGCGUGAUCGGAGCCGUCGGCGGAAGAAACAGCGACAAGGCGGUGCUUGAUUGGCUUUUACCGAACGUUUUGGAGUUUCUAAGCAGCGAUGAUUGGCAUGCGAGGAAAGCUGCUGCGGAGGCGAUGGCUAGAGUUGCUAUGGCGGAACAAGAGUUAGCUCCGUUGUAUAAGAAGGCAUGUGUAGGUAUCAUGGAGAGCAGAAGAUUUGAUAAGGUUAAGCUUGUUAGGGAGACGAUGAAUCGUACGUUGAGUUUAUGGAAGCAACUUGAAGGUGAUGAUUCUACAGAGAUCUCAGAGUCUUCUUCUUCCUCCAAAUCAGCUUCUUCUGGUUCAUCUGCGACUUCAAGGCAAAGAAGCAAUACAUUGA
Molecule: long non-coding RNA, 372 nt
Filed under: Eutrema salsugineum
Lineage: Eukaryota; Viridiplantae; Streptophyta; Magnoliopsida; Brassicales; Brassicaceae
Description: long non-coding RNA (ESAL_LNC000201)
Source: RNAcentral